GGCGGCAGGCCUAACACAUGCAAGUCGAGCGGUAACAUUUCUAGCUUGCUAGAAGAUGACGAGCGGCGGACGGGUGAGUAACGCGUAGAAAUCUACCUAGUAGUGGGGGAUAGCCCAGAGAAAUUUGGAUUAAUACCGCAUACGCCCUACGGGGGGAAGCGGGGGAUCUUCGGACCUCGUGCUAUUAGAUGAGUCUGCGUCGGAUUAGCUUGUUGGUGAGGUAAUGGCUCACCAAGGCGACGAUCCGUAGCUGGUCUGAGAGGAUGACCAGCCACACUGGAACUGAGACACGGUCCAGACUCCUACGGGAGGCAGCAGUGGGGAAUAUUGCACAAUGGGCGCAAGCCUGAUGCAGCCAUGCCGCGUGUGUGAAGAAGGCCAUAGGGUUGUAAAGCACUUUCAGCAGUGAGGAAAGGGGUGUCGUUAAUAGCGCCAUCCUGUGACGUUAACUGCAGAAGAAGGACCGGCUAACUCCGUG
This 478-nucleotide ribosomal RNA is filed under the name uncultured bacterium. RNAcentral's name for it is "bacterial SSU rRNA". It matches the Rfam family "Bacterial small subunit ribosomal RNA", at positions 38 to 507 of the family's 1533-position model. The record is from RNAcentral.